This 919-nucleotide ribosomal RNA is filed under the name Clostridiales bacterium. Its description in RNAcentral is "bacterial SSU rRNA". It matches the Rfam family "Bacterial small subunit ribosomal RNA", at positions 1 to 925 of the family's 1533-position model. Lineage: Bacteria; Bacillati; Bacillota; Clostridia; Eubacteriales. The record is from RNAcentral.
UUAAUUUGAGAGUUUGAUCCUGGCUCAGGAUAAACGCUGGCGGCGCACAUAAGACAUGCAAGUCGAACGAACUUAAUUGAGAGCUUGCUCUCAAAGCGGUUAGUGGCGGACUGGUGAGUAACACGUAAGCAACCUGCCUAUUAGAGGGGAAUAACAGCGAGAAAUCGUUGCUAAUACCGCAUAUGCUGCGAGUAUCGCAUGAUACAAGCAGGAAAGGAGCAAUCCGCUAAUAGAUGGGCUUGCGUCUGAUUAGUUAGUUGGUGGGGUAACGGCCUACCAAGACGAUGAUCAGUAGCCGGACUGAGAGGUUGAACGGCCACAUUGGGACUGAGAUACGGCCCAGACUCCUACGGGAGGCAGCAGUCGGGAAUAUUGCGCAAUGGAGGAAACUCUGACGCAGUGACGCCGCGUGCAGGAAGAAGGUUUUCGGAUUGUAAACUGCUUUUAACAGGAAAGAAAAAAAUGACGGUACCUGUUGAAUAAGCUCCGGCUAACUACGUGCCAGCAGCCGCGGUAAUACGUAGGGAGCGAGCGUUAUCCGGAUUUAUUGGGUGUAAAGGGUGCGUAGACGGAAAUGCAAGUUAGUUGUGAAAUACCUCGGCUUAACUGAGGAACUGCAACUAAAACUAUAUUUCUUGAGUAUCGGAGGGGUUUGUGGAAUUCCUAGUGUAGCGGUGAAAUGCGUAGAUAUUAGGAAGAACACCGGUGGCGAAGGCGACAAACUGGACGAUAACUGACGUUGAGGCACGAAAGUGUGGGGAGCAAACAGGAUUAGAUACCCUGGUAGUCCACGCCGUAAACGAUGGAUACUAGGUGUUGGCAAUGAAUAAUUGUCGGUGCCGGCGCUAACGCAAUAAGUAUCCCACCUGGGGAGUACGACCGCAAGGUUGAAACUCAAAGGAAUUGACGGGGGCCCGCA